Nerophis ophidion (straightnose pipefish) is the source of this 376-nucleotide long non-coding RNA. RefSeq lists it as uncharacterized. NCBI's taxonomy places the organism in Eukaryota, Metazoa, Chordata, Actinopteri, Syngnathiformes, Syngnathidae. The record is from RefSeq and is a predicted model, not a curated record. The transcript has 2 exons.
UCGACGAGGCGAAGGCAGCCGGUGGGGCUGCCUUUUUUCCCUUCUCCACGGUGGAAGCAUCAGACGGUCGGGGGCGGUUGGUGGGAGGAGGCAAGAGAGUCGCAGCUGCCUCUUUGACAGGUGCAGGGGGAACGACGCAAGCUCUCCGGUCAUGUCUACGGGGUGAAAGAGGAGAGAACGGGGCCGGUGAUGGUGCGGAGCGAGAAAAACACAUACAACGACGGAGAUGGAGACGAAGACAAGAAGAGGCGGACUGAAGUACGUGCUGCUAAAAAGCAGACGGCGGAGUGAGCAGCAGACGGAGACGGGAGACGUAGCAGAAGAGCGACCUGACCGCAGACAAGCUUGUGUGGGAAAAUAAAGCAAGUCAAACCUG